RNAcentral lists this transfer RNA (78 nucleotides) under Felis catus (domestic cat). It matches the Rfam family "tRNA". From Rfam's summary of the family: Transfer RNA (tRNA) molecules are approximately 80 nucleotides in length. RNAcentral also lists the same sequence under 2 other names. The record is from Rfam by way of RNAcentral. Lineage: Eukaryota; Metazoa; Chordata; Mammalia; Carnivora; Felidae.
GCCUGGGUGGCUCAGUCGGUUAAGUGUCUGACUUCAGCUCAGGUUCAUGGUUCGUGGGUUUGAGCCCCGCGUCAGGCU